RNAcentral lists this ribosomal RNA (236 nucleotides) under uncultured bacterium. RNAcentral describes it as "partial 16S ribosomal RNA". It matches the Rfam family "Bacterial small subunit ribosomal RNA", at positions 15 to 233 of the family's 1533-position model. The record is from RNAcentral.
GAUCAUGGCUCAGGAUGAACGCUAGCUACAGGCUUAACACAUGCAAGUCGAGGGGCAGCAUGGUCUUAGCUUGCUAAGGCCGAUGGCGACCGGCGCACGGGUGAGUAACACGUAUCCAACCUGCCGUCUACUCUUGGACAGCCUUCUGAAAGGAAGAUUAAUACAAGAUGGCAUCAUGAGUCCGCAUGUUACACAGUGUAAGUUUAAAAGGUUAGUUCCGGUAGACGAGUGGGGUA